AUUGAACGCUGGCGGCAUGCUUUACACAUGCAAGUCGAACGGCAGCGCGGGCUUCGGCCUGGCGGAGAGUGGCGAACGGGUGAGUAAUGCAUCGGAACGUGCCCAGUAGUGGGGGAUAGCGGGGCGAAAGCGGGAUUAAUACCGCAUACGACCUGACGGUGAAAGCGGGGGACCGAAAGGCCUCGCGACAUUGGAGCGGCCGAUGUCGGGUUAGCUAGUUGGUGGGGUAAAGGCUUACCAAGGCGACGAUCCGUAGCUGGUCUGAGAGGAGGACCAGCCACACUGGAACUGAGACACGGCCCAGACUCCUACGGGAGGCAGCAGUGGGGAAUUUUGGACAAUGGGGGCAACCCUGAUCCAGCCAUGCCGCGUGCGGGAAGAAGGCCUUCGGGUUGUAAACCGCUUUUGUUCGGGAAGAAAUCCUCUGGGCUAAUACCCCGGGGUGAUGACGGUACCGGAAGAAUAAGCACCGGCUAACUACGUG
Molecule: ribosomal RNA, 484 nt
Filed under: uncultured bacterium
Lineage: Bacteria
Description: partial 16S ribosomal RNA
Rfam family: Bacterial small subunit ribosomal RNA
Source: RNAcentral